RNAcentral lists this ribosomal RNA (1421 nucleotides) under Limosilactobacillus fermentum. Its description in RNAcentral is "bacterial SSU rRNA". It matches the Rfam family "Bacterial small subunit ribosomal RNA". Lineage: Bacteria; Bacillati; Bacillota; Bacilli; Lactobacillales; Lactobacillaceae. The record is from RNAcentral.
UUGAUUGAUGGUGCUUGCACCUGAUUGAUUUUGGUCGCCAACGAGUGGCGGACGGGUGAGUAACACGUAGGUAACCUGCCCAGAAGCGGGGGACAACAUUUGGAAACAGAUGCUAAUACCGCAUAACAGCGUUGUUCGCAUGAACAACGCUUAAAAGAUGGCUUCUCGCUAUCACUUCUGGAUGGACCUGCGGUGCAUUAGCUUGUUGGUGGGGUAACGGCCUACCAAGGCGAUGAUGCAUAGCCGAGUUGAGAGACUGAUCGGCCACAAUGGGACUGAGACACGGCCCAUACUCCUACGGGAGGCAGCAGUAGGGAAUCUUCCACAAUGGGCGCAAGCCUGAUGGAGCAACACCGCGUGAGUGAAGAAGGGUUUCGGCUCGUAAAGCUCUGUUGUUAAAGAAGAACACGUAUGAGAGUAACUGUUCAUACGUUGACGGUAUUUAACCAGAAAGUCACGGCUAACUACGUGCCAGCAGCCGCGGUAAUACGUAGGUGGCAAGCGUUAUCCGGAUUUAUUGGGCGUAAAGAGAGUGCAGGCGGUUUUCUAAGUCUGAUGUGAAAGCCUUCGGCUUAACCGGAGAAGUGCAUCGGAAACUGGAUAACUUGAGUGCAGAAGAGGGUAGUGGAACUCCAUGUGUAGCGGUGGAAUGCGUAGAUAUAUGGAAGAACACCAGUGGCGAAGGCGGCUACCUGGUCUGCAACUGACGCUGAGACUCGAAAGCAUGGGUAGCGAACAGGAUUAGAUACCCUGGUAGUCCAUGCCGUAAACGAUGAGUGCUAGGUGUUGGAGGGUUUCCGCCCUUCAGUGCCGGAGCUAACGCAUUAAGCACUCCGCCUGGGGAGUACGACCGCAAGGUUGAAACUCAAAGGAAUUGACGGGGGCCCGCACAAGCGGUGGAGCAUGUGGUUUAAUUCGAAGCUACGCGAAGAACCUUACCAGGUCUUGACAUCUUGCGCCAACCCUAGAGAUAGGGCGUUUCCUUCGGGAACGCAAUGACAGGUGGUGCAUGGUCGUCGUCAGCUCGUGUCGUGAGAUGUUGGGUUAAGUCCCGCAACGAGCGCAACCCUUGUUACUAGUUGCCAGCAUUAAGUUGGGCACUCUAGUGAGACUGCCGGUGACAAACCGGAGGAAGGUGGGGACGACGUCAGAUCAUCAUGCCCCUUAUGACCUGGGCUACACACGUGCUACAAUGGACGGUACAACGAGUCGCGAACUCGCGAGGGCAAGCAAAUCUCUUAAAACCGUUCUCAGUUCGGACUGCAGGCUGCAACUCGCCUGCACGAAGUCGGAAUCGCUAGUAAUCGCGGAUCAGCAUGCCGCGGUGAAUACGUUCCCGGGCCUUGUACACACCGCCCGUCACACCAUGAGAGUUUGUAACACCCAAAGUCGGUGGGGUAACCUUUUAGGAGCCAGCCGCC